CUGCUGGGUGCGGUCGCUUGAUAAAAUCGGUUCCCGGCUGCGUGAUCCAAAUUCAUCACCGGUCCAGUACAUCGGACGUAGUGGUACCGUGCGGGCGGGAUUGCCCAUUUCAAGCGUGCAGUGUACAGUUUAAAGUUCGAAUGAAAAGUUCCCGAAAUGAACCAACCAAGCAGCUGAAGGGAAAGCUCUUAGCAUACAAGGAUACCGUAAAUCCGGAGGAAAAGCUUAGCACACUUGGAUCGCUCCUGGAAGGAAACAAAUACAUCUACGUACACAGACACAGACGUACAACGCAGCACGAUGGGCUGUUGUUGCAGUAGCUCCGACUCGCAGGAUAUUACGCCGGUGCCGGAUCGGCCCACCGGAGGAGACUUCCCACCGGCGACCGCUUUCGGUGGCGAUGACACCGGAAGCAAUCCGGCCUUUACCAACGAAAAUGGAUAGCCCUUAAAAAGGCCUGACACCGGAUGCAAAAUUAGGGUACAACAAAGAAAGAAAGAGAGAGAGAGAGAGAGAGAGAGAGAGAGAAAAGAGAGAAAAAGAGAUAUUCGUGUGACGUUUCGCUACAAUAAAUCAUGCUAAUAAAACUGUUGAAAUAAAAA
This is a long non-coding RNA of Anopheles merus, 602 nucleotides long. RefSeq lists it as uncharacterized. The transcript is spliced from 2 exons. Lineage: Eukaryota; Metazoa; Arthropoda; Insecta; Diptera; Culicidae. The record is from RefSeq and is a predicted model, not a curated record.